RNAcentral lists this transfer RNA (64 nucleotides) under Myadora brevis. RNAcentral describes it as "tRNA-Gly". Lineage: Eukaryota; Metazoa; Mollusca; Bivalvia; Myochamidae. The record is from RNAcentral.
GCUUUUGUAGUAUAAAUAGUAUAUUAGUCUUCCAAACUGAGGGUUCUCUACUGGGACAGAAGCU